UGCCUAGAUUGGAAGGGGAAAAUCAGAGAUAUUGUGACACAGAAUCUAGAUGGUAGAAAAGGAGCUGUUUACCCAUACCAUACUUUGACAAGUACUGAUGGUGCAUAACUACCCUGAAGGCUUUUCCUGAUACCCGAUUUGGUUAACGUUUGUUAACCAAAAGCCAGACUGCGCGGAAUAUUGUUGGCAAGUGUAAUUUUCGGCUGCUGUCAAGUCAAGUAGGCCUACUCAUCAAGUGUCAUGUUGUUUGAAAUUGUGUUCAGUUGCAUUACAGUUUCAAUUGUUCACAAGAAGUAUUUGAUAAAGUCUUACAUUGGAAGUAACAGAAGGUGGAUUUUGGGAUAUUGGCAAUUGAAUGGCCAGACAAUUGAGUCUGGUGAACAUGUUGGCAAUCGAAAGUCUGCUUUCAAGCAAACGUGCAUGCGGUGUACAUUUAUAGCUGUUCAAACAACAUGUCUACUAUGACUGUCAUGACUCCCAAACUUGUCGUGUUCACCAUUGAUGUUAGAGAGCCUAUUGCUGAACUCUACUCAGAUGCAGCGAAUGGAAAUAACAACAAAUUGAAAGAAAUGAUCAACAUGCACCCUGCCAAAAGUGAAACACGAACAGGAUUACAUGAAUCUAUACGUUAACGCGUCAACGAGAGCACAAAUUCGCCAGUGAAGUGGUCGUUUUUCUAGGCCUUCGAACCACGACUGCCGGUCAGGGUUAUUAUUUCAAGAGGGUUUUCGAUGUCAGAAGAGAUGUUACAUUUAAGAGAAAAUUCAUAUUCAAAAUAAUAGUGACUCUUUCCUGUAUGAGUAAAUAAGGUUUAAAUAAACACGAAUUUUGACCGUCA
RNAcentral lists this long non-coding RNA (838 nucleotides) under Daphnia pulex (common water flea). Its description in RNAcentral is "uncharacterized LOC124208788". Lineage: Eukaryota; Metazoa; Arthropoda; Branchiopoda; Diplostraca; Daphniidae. The record is from RNAcentral.